AUGUCGACAUUGAGUUAUUCAUCAACAAAAGAAGACAUCUUACGAGUGAAGACGUGUCUUAAAAUAGCAUUAAGAUGCGUAGAAAAAGACAGAAAUGAAAGACCCUCUAUAAAGGAUAUUGUCCAGGAACUGGAAGAACUAGAAUUGGAGAUUAAGAAAAUGUCACUACAUUCUCAUAAUUCAGAAGACCUAAUUGCCCAGAGAAGCUCUGGCUGUAGUACUGUUCUUUCCCUCGAUCAAUCCCAAGAGUUACGCUUCCUACUCGAGCCAAGGAUGAACGCUUCAACCUGCCUGCAGCUAGCUAACAUGAGAGAGGGCUUCAUUGCCUUUAAUAUAAAAACCAACAAACGAAAGUAUUAUGCACAGCCAAGCAUCGGAGUUAUGCCGACAUGUUCUAAGCGCUAUAUCUCUGUGACACUUCACGCACAGGAGGAGGGACCAAUGAAUACACAAUGCCAUGACAUGUUUGUUGUCCAGAGUGCUCGUGUUAAUGAGGAUCUCACAUCCGACGAGAUCACUACUGCCUUCUUUGAAGAAGGGAAGGUGGAUAUGAUGAAAAUGCCGAUUGUUUAUGUUGCAGCAGACCAAUUUCCAAGCACCAACAUCUAG
This 609-nucleotide ribosomal RNA is filed under the name Triticum aestivum (bread wheat). RNAcentral's name for it is "partial small subunit ribosomal RNA". Lineage: Eukaryota; Viridiplantae; Streptophyta; Magnoliopsida; Poales; Poaceae. The record is from RNAcentral.